RNAcentral lists this ribosomal RNA (316 nucleotides) under uncultured eukaryote. RNAcentral describes it as "partial 18S ribosomal RNA". It matches the Rfam family "Eukaryotic small subunit ribosomal RNA", at positions 1470 to 1796 of the family's 1831-position model. The record is from RNAcentral.
CCCUUAGAUGUUCUGGGCUGCACGCGCGCUACACUGAUGCGUUCAACGAGUGUAUCACCUUGCCCGAUAGGGUUGGGUAAUCUUUUGAACACGCAUCGUGAUGGGGAUAGAUUAUUGCAAUUAUUAAUCUUCAACGAGGAAUUCCUAGUAAACGCAAGUCAUCAACUUGCAUUGAUUACGUCCCUGCCCUUUGUACACACCGCCCGUCGCACCUACCGAUUGAAUGGUCCGGUGAAGCCUCCGGAUUGGCGCGCACCUCGGUGCCGCCGAGAAGUUGGCUAAACCUUACCAUUUAGAGGAAGGUGAAGUCGUAACA